This 69-nucleotide transfer RNA is filed under the name Ictidomys tridecemlineatus (thirteen-lined ground squirrel). Its description in RNAcentral is "Spermophilus tridecemlineatus (thirteen-lined ground squirrel) tRNA". It matches the Rfam family "tRNA". Rfam says of the family: Transfer RNA (tRNA) molecules are approximately 80 nucleotides in length. Their secondary structure includes four short double-helical elements and three loops (D, anti-codon, and T loops). The record is from Rfam by way of RNAcentral. Lineage: Eukaryota; Metazoa; Chordata; Mammalia; Rodentia; Sciuridae.
GGGGUUGUAGCUCAGUGGUAGAGCGCCUGCCUCGCAAGCAUGAGGCUCUGGGUUCGAUCCUUAGCACCA